This 445-nucleotide ribosomal RNA is filed under the name uncultured bacterium. RNAcentral describes it as "partial 16S ribosomal RNA". It matches the Rfam family "Bacterial small subunit ribosomal RNA", at positions 354 to 796 of the family's 1533-position model. The record is from RNAcentral.
GUGAGGAAUAUUGGACAAUGGGCGCAAGUCUGAUCCAGCCAUGCCGCGUGCAGGAAGACGCAUCUAUGGUGUGUAAACUGCUUUUGUACGGGAAGAAACACUCCCUCGUGAGGGAGCUUGACGGUACCGUAAGAAUAAGGAUCGGCUAACUCCGUGCCAGCAGCCGCGGUAAUACGGAGGAUCCAAGCGUUAUCCGGAAUCAUUGGGUUUAAAGGGUCCGUAGGCGGUUUAAUAAGUCAGUGGUGAAAGCCCAUCGCUCAACGAUGGAACGGCCAUUGAUACUGUUAGACUUGAAUUACAAGGAAGUAACUAGAAUAUGUAGUGUAGCGGUGAAAUGCUUAGAUAUUACAUGGAAUACCAAUUGCGAAGGCAGGUUACUACUUGUGGAUUGACGCUGAUGGACGAAAGCGUGGGGAGCGAACAGGAUUAGAUACCCUAGUAGUCC